UGCAGUCGAGCGGUAGAGAGAAGCUUGCUUCUCUUGAGAGCGGCGGACGGGUGAGUAAUGCCUAGGAAUCUGCCUGGUAGUGGGGGAUAACGUUCGGAAACGGACGCUAAUACCGCAUACGUCCUACGGGAGAAAGCAGGGGACCUUCGGGCCUUGCGCUAUCAGAUGAGCCUAGGUCGGAUUAGCUAGUUGGUGAGGUAAUGGCUCACCAAGGCGACGAUCCGUAACUGGUCUGAGAGGAUGAUCAGUCACACUGGAACUGAGACACGGUCCAGACUCCUACGGGAGGCAGCAGUGGGGAAUAUUGGACAAUGGGCGAAAGCCUGAUCCAGCCAUGCCGCGUGUGUGAAGAAGGUCUUCGGAUUGUAAAGCACUUUAAGUUGGGAGGAAGGGCAGUUACCUAAUACGUGAUUGUUUUGACGUUACCGACAGAAUAAGCACCGGCUAACUCUGUGCCA
This 458-nucleotide ribosomal RNA is filed under the name Pseudomonas sp. RNAcentral describes it as "bacterial SSU rRNA". It matches the Rfam family "Bacterial small subunit ribosomal RNA", at positions 56 to 510 of the family's 1533-position model. Lineage: Bacteria; Pseudomonadati; Pseudomonadota; Gammaproteobacteria; Pseudomonadales; Pseudomonadaceae. The record is from RNAcentral.